Triticum aestivum (bread wheat) is the source of this 2231-nucleotide long non-coding RNA. RefSeq lists it as uncharacterized. The record is from RefSeq and is a predicted model, not a curated record. Lineage: Eukaryota; Viridiplantae; Streptophyta; Magnoliopsida; Poales; Poaceae. The transcript has 4 exons.
UGACGCACGGGCUCUCCUCCCCCCGCGCAGCGCCCCCCGAGCUCCAGAUCGGGAGGGGAAGCUCCCGAUCCAGAGCCCCUCGCCGCCCCGCUGCCUUCGCGCUCGGCCUCGCCACCGGCCGCCGCGCCGCCGUCGACCAUAGCCGGACCUCCACGCCUCGCGCCCCCUCUUAUGGAGCAGCCAUGGCCACCGGCCGCCGCGCCGCCCACCACGACGAGCUGCUCAGCACUCUCCUCGCCGCCGCGGGCAACGGCCGGGAGGAGGAGGAGGACGCGCGGGAGGCGCGGCAGCGUCAGAAUCAACGCGUCGAAUCCGGCCUCGGCUUACGGCGACACGGACGUGGAGGCUCUGGCUGCGACCGCCGCACUCUAUGCCCCGACCCUGCUCGCCGAGCCCUGCCGCUCCGGUUCUCCAUCCAUGUACGCUGUCGGGGACUUGCAGGUCCAAGCUUGCUUCAAUUUGCAGAAGAAAGUUGGGUCCUCACGGAAAGGAAGGAUGUUUGCUAAUGUGGUUGGGUGGCUUUCUGUUUUUGGAAGGAGGAAGGUUUAUUCAGUCCAUCCUCCUGCCUCUCCCUGCACAAAAAAUGGUUCAUCCUUCAUUGGUAUGUUUGCAGCUAUGGAGGAGGUGAACGCAGAGACAACUGCGGGCUAGCUGCAGCUUCUGUUUGAGCAGAGGCGAUCGUUCCUUGCCGGAAUCGUAUUUCAGGGUACAUGAGAGGCUGCUCGACCGCAGCUUCUGGAUCAGGUCAACGCGGCUGCUCGAGAGGCUGGGGACGACGCAUCUGCUCGGUGCAGAAUGGCGGUGGCGGGAUCCAGCGGGCGCGGGAGAAUGAGGGAUCCGGCGCCGUGGGCGAAGUCCUUGCAGCUGGAGGCGGGCCUCCAUGGCUGGCAGGGAGAGCUCCAAGGUCAUGGCGGGGCUUUGAUUUUUCUGGUAGAAAAGAGAGACAGAGGAGGAUCCAGGGAGGAGGAGAGGUAGGAGAAGAAGGAAGGGUGCGGCAGGGUGCAGCGGUGCGAGGGCACUGGUCUCCCGCGUGAGGAGCGCCUCUCCUUGGGAGGAUCUGGAGGGAGUGAGUGAAACUCAAAUCCACUUCAGAGCAAGGUACUGUUGUAGAAGUACGAAGAAGCAAGCUGACCAGAUGUACAAGUAGUAGCCGGCAACGACGAUGAAGCAAGCCAACCAGAUGUGCACGAAACGACCAUACAUCAUGCCUGAUUGAUCCUCCGUUCAUCAUCCGCAAGAUCUACAUCAUCAUCUUUGGGUCAGUUCGCCAUGAAGGCCAUUCUGCGAACGAGGUUGUUCAUGUCCCUCCUCAUGUACAGUUGUACUUCUAUUCUAGGAUUUCAACUCUGCACUCCAUUCCGCAUCCUGAAUAUUCAGAGUCUCGAGUUUGCAUGAGUCUCGAUUUGAUUAAAUGAACAGGUCAGUAAGAUAGAUUUUUGGUCGAGGAUAGAUUUUUGAUCGUGUGUGGGAUGAGAGGGAAUACUUAUCGGGUUAGGGUCGUGACAUUUUUUCUCCCCUUGCAACGCACGGGCAUUUUUGCUAGUGAUAUAUAAAUGAGAUACGUAUUACAGUGAAAAAAAAAAGCACAACCCAGCAUCAAUUAAUAGAUGUAGAGGUCACAACGGCGUAUGCUCCAGAUGACGUGCCUUCGACGCAGAUCAAACGCACUAUGCAGUCCACAAACUUCCCGAUGUUCGUAUUCCCAUUGGUUCACGUCUACCACCAAGGCCUUGUUGAUUCGUACAUCUGUCUAUGCUUCGCCAUUAUGAGCUGGAUACUAAUUGUUUUUCUGGGAUAAAAUUUUUGUUGGAGGAAUUUUUCUGGAUAAGAAUUUGUGUAGCAAUAUGUCAUGACAAUCUCUGGUGGCAUCAUGUCACUCUCGAUUUUCCGUAUUUUCGUCUGCCUAGUUUUUUUUGGACUUUUUGUAUGGUGCAAUGGGUGUCUCAGUAGCCAACUAUUGUAUGGUUCAAACACUUCUUGUUGGAUCGCCCAUACGUGGUGGUCCAUGUCUUAAGCAAGUCAAGCUCCGGUGCACCAAAAACGUCCUCAUCGAUGACAACCUUCAAAAAGGCAGGAAUAUGGUACUAACAUUUGCAACCAAUAGAUAGUUUGUGAUAAAUAUCCCAGAAGGUUAGCCCACAAUUUACAGGUCAUGUUAUUGCUAAUAUGAUUGAAAAAAGAAUCAUGAUUUCCUUUGGUACACACUUAUUGGCUUAACAAAGAAAACUUAA